This is a non-coding RNA of Bactrocera oleae (olive fruit fly), 1194 nucleotides long. The record is from RefSeq and is a predicted model, not a curated record. NCBI's taxonomy places the organism in Eukaryota, Metazoa, Arthropoda, Insecta, Diptera, Tephritidae.
AUUUUUCUAUUGUCUGGCAGCACCCACUAUUGUUUUUGUGCUUCCUAUUCACAUCAUUUUUCUUAAAUUUUCUUAUUUGUUGAUGAAUUUUCUUUGCCUAGUUAGUAUAAAAAAGAUCUGAAUAUCAUCAUAAUAUAAAUAUAAAUGCUGCACAAAAUGCUAAAAAGUAGUAAUUUAGAAAGUAUUAGAAAUGUCGUGGAGGCGGGAGGACAGCAACCGAGCAACGCAGGUGAUUUGCAACAAGUGCCCGCAACGCUGCAAAACAACAACAGCUUCACUGCAGAUGUGACAAUAACGCAAGUGAAUAGUGACACCAACACGUCGUCAACUAAUGACAAUGGCAAACUCAAUAACAACGAAGACUACAAUGCCACGCGAACAACAAAUACAACCGAAGAACCGCCCGACUCGUUGACUACCAAGCAGUUGGCCACAGGUCUGUUGCAAAUAUUUGAGCCACCGCUAGCAAAAGCGCGCGGCCAAUUAAAGGAACUCAUUGGUAAACAGAAUAAAAUCUACAUAGAUUUAUCGGCGGAGAAAUUCAAAUUGGAUAACGCUGAGACGGCAAAGCUGCACGAAAUGAUGAACAAUGUGAAAACUUAUCGAGAAAAGUUGGUUAAGAUUAAAAAGCAAAUGCAAAGAAUUUAUCAGCGCACUAAAAUACUGAAGAAACGCGCACUCAACGUACAGGCCUGCAAACAGAAAGAACUUCAACGCAAAGUGCAGAAACAACAACAAGAAGAGGCCUUAAUUGCCAAACAGCAACAAACACAAGCUGCGACGAAAUCGGAGUGAGGCCGCGAACAACAGAAGUCAACGAAAACCUUCUGGGAAUUUUUGUAUGUAACCUUGUGUUAGAAAAAUAUAUACAUAUUACAAAGACUUGCAUAUUAUUUUAGUUAAAAAGUUUUUGUGACCAGUGAAAAAAUUUGUGCACAAUACUCAAAUGCUUUGGUGUUGCAGCAACAAAUGGUUGUAGUAAGAGUAUCGAACAAAAUUAUUUAGCAAUUGAAAUUAAUAAUUAUGUUUAGAGACUUAAUGGUAGAAAGUAUUAAAUAUUACAAACAUAUAUAUGUAUUUAGCGGCUUCAAGCCAGAUGCAUAUAUUGAAAACAAAGUUUUUUUUGUAAAUAGCAAAAACUAUUUCAACUGACAGUACAUUCAAUAAAACACUCAUGAAAAAUACUAGUUAAAA